UCAUCGCAUCCUGGGGCUGUAGUCGGUCCCAAGGGUUGGGCUGUUCGCCCAUUAAAGCGGUACGCGAGCUGGGUUCAGAACGUCGUGAGACAGUUCGGUCCCUAUCCGUCGUGGGCGUAGGAAAUUUGAGAGGAGCUGUCCUUAGUACGAGAGGACCGGGAUGGACAUACCUCUGGUGUACCAGUUGUCGUGCCAACGGCAUAGCUGGGUAGCUAUGUGUGGACGGGAUAAGUGCUGAAAGCAUCUAAGCAUGAAGCCCCCCUCAAGAUGAGAUUUCCCAACUUCGGUUAUAAGAUCCCUCAAAGAUGAUGAGGUUAAUAGGUUCGAGGUGGAAGCAUGGUGACAUGUGGAGCUGACGAAUACUAA
This 366-nucleotide ribosomal RNA is filed under the name Staphylococcus aureus. Its description in RNAcentral is "partial 23S ribosomal RNA". It matches the Rfam family "Bacterial large subunit ribosomal RNA", at positions 2537 to 2904 of the family's 2925-position model. The record is from RNAcentral. Lineage: Bacteria; Bacillati; Bacillota; Bacilli; Caryophanales; Staphylococcaceae.